This 368-nucleotide long non-coding RNA is filed under the name Ictidomys tridecemlineatus (thirteen-lined ground squirrel). Its description in RNAcentral is "lncRNA (ENSSTOG00000031953.1)". The record is from RNAcentral. Lineage: Eukaryota; Metazoa; Chordata; Mammalia; Rodentia; Sciuridae.
CUGAGCACAGACAGUUUGACUCAGUGAUCUUCAAGAUUCAUCUUGUUCUGUGGGCAUGGCGUCUAGUGCCACAAGAGAGGAGCGAAGCUCUCUGGGAGCCCAGAAAGCACCCCAGAUUCCGGGAAUCAGAAGAGGUGUUGCAGCUCUGAAGAAUAAGGAGGAUCUGCACAGGCCCAGGAGAUGAGAAAAGCGCCAAGUUGCCAGGAAGCAGCAGAACCAGGACUAUCUGACUCAGUUCCAUUCACAGCGUGAUCUUAAAUGAGAAGACUCCCUCUGACACUUCUGUGGACAGAAUGAGGAGAAAAAAAUGAGCUAGUUGCAGCAAGAAGGCUUCAUGUCAGACCUCAAGAAGGACUUCCAGAAUGUGG